CAAUCCCUCAGACAACAAUGAUAAUGGUAGUGUAAUGUAAUGUUUUCCGUAUGAAUGUGUAGUAGCCUGCUUCUCUUCAUUUAAUAUGACAUGUAGAGUUUGACUAAGUGGAGGUGUUUGUGUAUUAUGUCUCAGAUGCUGCUGGUGCUUCUGCUGCUGGACCAAGUCAUGUGACUUACGUCCAGAUUCAACUGAACAAGUUGGACAAGAAAAAGAAAGUAAAGAGAGAUUAUCCAAAAUAAAAUCCUGUCUACUCUGAGGUGAAGACAGGGGAAGCCACAGCAGCAGCUGGACCUGUUGAUGUGACCUAUGCUGAGGUUGACCUCCAAAA
Long non-coding RNA from Coregonus clupeaformis (lake whitefish), 331 nucleotides. RefSeq lists it as uncharacterized. The transcript is spliced from 3 exons. The record is from RefSeq and is a predicted model, not a curated record. NCBI's taxonomy places the organism in Eukaryota, Metazoa, Chordata, Actinopteri, Salmoniformes, Salmonidae.